Molecule: transfer RNA, 91 nt
Filed under: Canis lupus familiaris (dog)
Lineage: Eukaryota; Metazoa; Chordata; Mammalia; Carnivora; Canidae
Also listed under: 3 other names
Rfam family: tRNA
About the family: Transfer RNA (tRNA) molecules are approximately 80 nucleotides in length. Their secondary structure includes four short double-helical elements and three loops (D, anti-codon, and T loops). Further hydrogen bonds mediate the characteristic L-shaped molecular structure. tRNAs have two regions of fundamental functional importance: the anti-codon, which is responsible for specific mRNA codon recognition, and the 3' end, to which the tRNAs corresponding amino acid is attached (by aminoacyl-tRNA synthetases). tRNAs cope with the degeneracy of the genetic code in two manners: having more than one tRNA (with a specific anti-codon) for a particular amino acid; and 'wobble' base-pairing, i.e. permitting non-standard base-pairing at the 3rd anti-codon position.
Source: Rfam by way of RNAcentral
GGCUCUGUGGCGCAAUGGAUAGCGCAUUGGACUUCUAGCCGAUCGGGGUGUGGUGAUUCAAAGGUUGUGGGUUCGAGUCCCACCAGAGUCG